AUGCCCAGAAAAUAUGGUAAGCUAUGUUAACAAGCCAUAUUAGAUAUCAAGCAUUAAUAUGGAAAUAAACCAGCCCACCUGCACCCAGGUGAAAUAAACAGCUUUAUUGCUCACACAAAGCCUGUUUGGUGGUCUCUUCACAUGGACGCGCAUGAAAUUUGGUGCCGUGACUCGGAUCGGGGGACCUCCCUUGGGAGAUCAAUCCCCUGUCCUCCUGCUCUUUGCUCCGUGAGAAACAUCCACCUAUGGCCUCAGGUCCUCAGACCGACCAGCCCAAGAAACAUCUCACCAAUUUCAAAUCCGGCAUUGGGCUCUCACCAUUGGCCAAGAUUCCCUGCCCCGGUGAGGCCGGAAGCAGUUCAGACACCUGACUUCUGGCAACAUGUGAGCCUGACCCAAGCAGAUCACUGGUGACCAGUAAAUAUUGAAGCUCCAAGACAAAUCCUGCCCUGAUUCUGGGGACCAUGCCUGUGGAGAUGCACAGUUCUACCAUUCAAAAUGACUAUCUGAAAAUACCUCCUAAGAAGGACAAAACUUUUCUUCAGCCAAGAGGGCACUUGUUAAUAUGAUUAGAUACAUAUGUAAUGGUGUCCCCCUCCCCUCUUAGCCCCUCAGUGUGUGUUCUCUCAGUCAGUGUAUCUACAUGCAGGAGACAUUAAAGGAUGGAUGUAACUUCAGACCUUCAUUUCCCCAUAAGUAUUGCUUUCAGAGAAUAUCUAAUGAAGUCACAUGGAUGAAGAUUUCUGUAUCAUUUGUUUCCCAGAAUGGCUCUCCAACUUACAUUUCAUCAUCCACCCACAUAUCCACUUAUCCAUUCAACCUUCAUGUACUGACUGAAAACUCCUCUUAUAUAGUUUUCCUCAGCAGUUUCCUCUUCUGGGGAUUUUCUGCUGUUUUGGUAACCUGUUUUAAUGUUGUAUUUUAUGUGUUCCUAAGGGCAAUGCAAGUUGUUUAAAGAGGCAAUUAUCUCAUGUGAUUUAUGAGAUUUGCUGGACAAAUUCCAAUAAAAAAUGUACUUGAGAAGUAUGUCACAGGUUUAUUGCUGGUAUCAAUAAAGUCUCUAUAGUGUGUGGCAAUCCAUGUUUUAAAAGGAGUUAGCUUUGUGAUCAUAGAUUAUCAAAUCUAAUAUGCCACCAAUUAUAAGAUUUAUUCCAGUUUUUGAGAUGUAAAAAUGUAAAAAAUAAAGGUCAGCAAUUAUUUUAUAAUUUCAUGUAUUGUAAGAUAUAUGUAGAAUCAAAAGACGGUAAAAUGUGAAAUAAAGUGCACCUAAGAAUUGAUUAAAUAGGUUAUGGCCUUAAUAAUUCCUUUGCAAGUUUCUCCUAUACAUUACUAAUGGUAAAAUAAGUAAACUGAAUAAUAUUGAUAGGAAUAAAAACAAUAAGUUGGAGGAGAUUCAAUAGUGAUAACAGCCGACAUUCAUCUAGUGCCUAGUAUGGGUUGGGCAAU
RNAcentral lists this long non-coding RNA (1446 nucleotides) under Homo sapiens (human). RNAcentral describes it as "non-protein coding lnc-LOX-4:7". Lineage: Eukaryota; Metazoa; Chordata; Mammalia; Primates; Hominidae. The record is from RNAcentral.